This 496-nucleotide ribosomal RNA is filed under the name uncultured bacterium. RNAcentral describes it as "partial 16S ribosomal RNA". It matches the Rfam family "Bacterial small subunit ribosomal RNA", at positions 28 to 506 of the family's 1533-position model. The record is from RNAcentral.
GAUGAACGCUGGCGGCGUGCCUAAUACAUGCAAGUCGAGCGAACAGAUGAGGAGCUUGCUCCUCUGACGUUAGCGGCGGACGGGUGAGUAACACGUGGAUAACCUACCUAUAAGACUGGGAUAACUUCGGGAAACCGGAGCUAAUACCGGAUAAUAUAUUGAACCGCAUGGUUCAAUAGUGAAAGACGGUUUUGCUGUCACUUAUAGUUGGAUCCGCGCCGCAUUAGCUAGUUGGUAAGGUAACGGCUUACCAAGGCAACGAUGCGUAGCCGACCUGAGAGGGUGAUCGGCCACACUGGAACUGAGACACGGUCCAGACUCCUACGGGAGGCAGCAGUAGGGAAUCUGCCGCAAUGGGCGAAAGCCUGACGGAGCAACGCCGCGUGAGUGAUGAAGGUCUUCGGAUCGUAAAACUCUGUUAUUAGGGAAGAACAAAUGUGUAAGUAACUAUGCACGUCUUGACGGUACCUAAUCAGAAAGCCACGGCUAACUACGG